ACGGCGCCCGCCAGUGCCAGCAGGUACUGCUGGGGUGUGGGAUCUGUGGGGUCACUGGGAUCUGUGGGAUAUGGAAUCAAUGGGAUCUGUGGGGUCUGUGGGAUCGGUGGGAUAUGGGAUCAAUGGGAUCUGUGGGAUCAGCGCGACGGCGCCCGCCAGUGCCAGCAGGUACAGGGUCUGUGGGAUCUGUGGGGUCUGUGGGAUCUGUGGGAUCUGUGGGAUCUGUGGGAUGUGUGGGAUAUGGGAUACGGGAUCAGUGCGACAGGACCUAGCAGUGCCAGCAGGUAUGGGGGCUGUGGGAUCUAUGGGGUCAGGAGAUCUCUGGGAUCUGUGGGGUCAAUGGGAUCUAUGGAAUCAGCACGACAGGACCCAGCAGUGCCAGCAGGUACUGCUGGGUUAUGGGAUCUGUGGGGUCACUGGGAUAUGGGAUCUAUGGGAUCUGUGGGAUCUAUGGGACACAGCAGUGCCAGCAGGUACGGGGUCUGUGGGGUCAGUGGGAUCAAUGGGAUCUAUGGGAUUGGCACAAUGGGACAUGGCUGUUCCCCUUCCCUAAUGGGGCCGUCCCUCACCAUUCCCAUUCCCUGACCUGCACCUUCCUGUUCCUUACUGGGACCAUUCCUGUUCCCAUUCUUCCUGUCCCCAUUCCCGUUUCCUCAGGCUCUGGAGGUGGAGCAGUAGCAGAACUUCCAGCAGCUGUUCCCAUUUUCCCAUUUUUCCACAUUUUUCUCCCCAUUUCCAGGCACUGGAGGUGGAGCAGUAGCAGAACUUCAUGCAGCUGCUCCGAUUUUCCCAGUUUUUUUCCCAUUUUUCCCUUUUUUUCCCCUUUUUUUCUCAUUUUUCCUGGUUUAUUUCACAUUUUUCCCAUUUUCCUGGUUUUUUACCCCAUUCAGGCUCUGGAGGUGGAGCGGCAGUGGAACCUGGCCCAGCUGUUCCCCUUUUUGUUCCCAUUUUUCCCAAUUUCCCAAUUUCCCGGGUUUUUUGCCCUGUUUUUCCCAAAUUCCCGUUUUUUUACCCCAUGCAGGCUCUGGAGGAGGAGCGGCAGCAGAACCUGGCGCAGCUGUUCCCAUUUUUCCCAAAUUCCCGGUUUUUUGCCCCAUUCAGGCUCUGGAAGCCGAGCGGCAGCAGAACCUGGCGCAGCUGUUCCCGUUUUUCCCAAAUUCCCGGUUUUUUGCCCCAUUCAGGCUCUGGAAGCCGAGCGGCAGCAGAACCUGGCGCAGCUGUCCGUUUUUCCAAAUCCCGGUUUUUUGCCCCAUUCAGGCUCUGGAAGCCGAGCGGCAGCAGAACCUGGCGCAGCUGCUGCGGCGGAGNNNNNNNNNNNNNNNNNNNNNNNNNNNNNNNNNNNNNNNNNNNNNNNNNNNNNNNNNNNNNNNNNNN
RNAcentral lists this long non-coding RNA (1374 nucleotides) under Serinus canaria (Common canary). Its description in RNAcentral is "lncRNA (ENSSCAG00000001477.1)". Lineage: Eukaryota; Metazoa; Chordata; Aves; Passeriformes; Fringillidae. The record is from RNAcentral.